GUCCACGCCCUAAACGAUGGGGACUAAGUGUCGGAGGUAUCGACCCCUCCGGUGCCGCAGCUAACGCAUUAAGUCCCCCGCCUGGGGAGUACGGCCGCAAGGUUGAAACUCAAAGGAAUUGACGGGGCCCGCACAAGCGGUGGAGCAUGUGGUUUAAUUCGACGCAACGCGAAGAACCUUACCCAGACUUGACAUGUGAGUGGUAGUGAACCGAAAGGGGAACGACCCCGCAAGGGGAGCUUACACAGGUGCUGCAUGGCUGUCGU
This 266-nucleotide ribosomal RNA is filed under the name uncultured bacterium. Its description in RNAcentral is "partial 16S ribosomal RNA". It matches the Rfam family "Bacterial small subunit ribosomal RNA", at positions 793 to 1055 of the family's 1533-position model. The record is from RNAcentral.